RNAcentral lists this ribosomal RNA (147 nucleotides) under Triticum aestivum (bread wheat). RNAcentral's name for it is "partial small subunit ribosomal RNA". Lineage: Eukaryota; Viridiplantae; Streptophyta; Magnoliopsida; Poales; Poaceae. The record is from RNAcentral.
AUGGUUCGAGAGGAGGUAGCAGGAUCCACUCAAACACUACAGUGGAAGUGUGUUGAAUCAAGAGUAGAUAGUAAGCGCCUUUAUUAUGGUCGUUUCAUUCUGUCCCCGCUUAGAAAAGGUCAAGCGGACACCGUCGGUAUUGCCUUG